GAUUAACGCUGGCGGCGUGCAUAACACAUGCAAGUCGAACGAUGAAACUUAACUGAUUUCUUCGGAAUGAUUUUAAGUGGAUUAGUGGCGGACGGGUGAGUAACGCGUGAGUAACCUGCCUUGGCGAAGGGGAUAGCCUUUGGAAACGAAGAAUAAUACCCUAUGAUAUGAUAAUAUCUCAUGAUAUUAUCAUCAAAGAUUUAUCGCUCUAAGAUGGACUUGCGUCUGAUUAGUUAGUUGGUGAGGUAACAGCUCACCAAGGCAGCGAUCAGUAGCCGGCUUGAGAGAGUGUACGGCCACAUUGGGACUGAGACACGGCCCAGACUCCUACGGGAGGCAGCAGUGGGGAAUUUUGCACAAUGGGGGAAACCCUGAUGCAGCGACGCCGCGUGAUUUAGAAGGCCUUCGGGUUGUAAAAAUCUUUUGUAUGGGAAGAAAAUGACAGUACCAUACGAAUAAGGACCGGCUAAUUACGUG
RNAcentral lists this ribosomal RNA (477 nucleotides) under uncultured bacterium. RNAcentral describes it as "partial 16S ribosomal RNA". It matches the Rfam family "Bacterial small subunit ribosomal RNA", at positions 28 to 507 of the family's 1533-position model. The record is from RNAcentral.